Pelobates cultripes (western spadefoot toad) is the source of this 131-nucleotide non-coding RNA. The record is from the annotation of a GenBank genome assembly. NCBI's taxonomy places the organism in Eukaryota, Metazoa, Chordata, Amphibia, Anura, Pelobatidae.
GUCAGCACACCGUCGUCAGGAGCAAUAUCAAAAUGCUCUGGCCACCAAUGUCUGUUUAUAUUGGUCCUAUCAACAUUUGUGGCCAGAGCAUUUUGAUAUUGCUCCUGACGACGGUGUGCUGACACGCCAAA